CUGUGGAGUGAUGGUUCCACUUUUGAUUUUACGUUCUUGGAAUCAAAGCAGCCAUUCCGUGCUCGUAGACGUGAACACUGUAUGGAGCUGAGCGAUAAUGGUGAUACCGGUGACAUACCUUGUACCGAGCUGAACUCUUAUGUUUGUGGCAGGAGCCUGUGAG
Monopterus albus (swamp eel) is the source of this 163-nucleotide long non-coding RNA. RefSeq lists it as uncharacterized. The transcript is spliced from 2 exons. The record is from RefSeq and is a predicted model, not a curated record. NCBI's taxonomy places the organism in Eukaryota, Metazoa, Chordata, Actinopteri, Synbranchiformes, Synbranchidae.